GGGAAUAUUGCACAAUGGGGGAAACCCUGAUGCAGCGAUGCCGCGUGGAGGAAGAAGGUUUUCGGAUUGUAAACUCCUUUUAUCAGGGACGAUAAUGACGGUACCUGAAGAAAAAGCUCCGGCUAACUACGUGCCAGCAGCCGCGGUAAUACGGAGGAUCCAAGCGUUAUCCGGAUUUAUUGGGUUUAAAGGGUGCGUAGGCGGCAGAUUAAGUUAGAGGUGAAAUUCCGAGGCUCAACCUUGGCACUGCCUCUGAUACUGGUUUGCUAGCGAGUAGAUGCUGUAGGCGGAAUGUGUGGUGUAGCGGUGAAAUGCAUAGAGAUCACACAGAACACCGAUUGCGAAGGCAGCUUACAAAUCUAUAUCGGACGCUGAGGCACGAAAGCGUGGGGAGCAAACAGG
RNAcentral lists this ribosomal RNA (402 nucleotides) under uncultured bacterium. Its description in RNAcentral is "bacterial SSU rRNA". It matches the Rfam family "Bacterial small subunit ribosomal RNA", at positions 357 to 776 of the family's 1533-position model. The record is from RNAcentral.